This is an RNA transcript of Phyllopteryx taeniolatus (common seadragon), 1139 nucleotides long. It is a transcript of the gene named calcium-binding protein 2-like, with no coding region annotated. The record is from RefSeq and is a predicted model, not a curated record. The transcript is spliced from 9 exons. NCBI's taxonomy places the organism in Eukaryota, Metazoa, Chordata, Actinopteri, Syngnathiformes, Syngnathidae.
AUAAUCACCUUUAUUAUAUAAUCCUCAGGUUGGGUGAGGCUUUUCCUAGACGCCUUGCUUAUCAUUCCAGUCAAACAAGAAGGACAUAAAUACAGUCUUUUUGUGCCCGUUUAAGAAGGAUGUCUGUAAAAGGCGCAAAGGGAGGAGCUGAUAGUCGACCUUCCUCUUCAGCCAGCAAUUCUCCUCGAGGGGGGAGGGCUCCGGCGGCCGGCAGAUCUCCAACCUCCAGCAGAUUCAAAAACAAGGCUCUUCAGCUCAGCCUCUCCAAGAAAUUCUGCUCCAAGUCUCCCACCGCUCAGAAAAAGGGCAACGGUGGCGGCGAUCAGGAGAGUCGUCGACGCGGGAAACGGAGCCUCGGCAACAGCUCGGCGGUGGCUGCCGCCUACAUCGCCUACCUCGACAAACUCUUUGGACAGGAGCGAGAGCUGAUGCCUCUGGAGUUCGACGAGUUGCGAGAGGCCUUCAAGGAGUUUGACUACGACGCGGACGGCUUCAUACAUUACAAAGACAUUGCCGACUGCAUGAGGACCAUGGGCUACAUGCCGACAGAAAUGGAACUGAUCGAGAUCAUCCAGCAGAUCAAGAUGAGAUGGGGCGGCCACGUGGACUUCGACGACUUCUGCCAGUUAAUGGGCCCCAGGAUGCUGGCGGAGACCGCUCACAUGCUCGGGCUCAAGGAGCUGCGCUGCGCCUUCAAACAGGGACAGCUCAGCACCCGGAGCCUCACGACGCGAUUCUUGAGUUCUUCCUUCAGUCCUCGAUAUUUUUCCAGCUUUUUGUGUUCCUUGUCUCGGAUGUCGCAAUCACGACCGCUGUUCAUCCACCACUAACUAGUUUGUCAAUCUGGAUCUGGAAGUCCCGCGGGAUCUCGGCCUGGUUGGGUGGAGUCUGCCAUCUUGAUUCUGGGACCUCCUGUCCAUAUUUGGUACAGAUGUUCCAGUACACUAUUCCUGCUUCUCUAGUGGUAGAGUUAAGAAGAAGAAGAUGGAUUAAGUCGGUUCGACUGCAACGGGGACGGGAAGAUUACGCUGGAGGAGCUGAAGGACGGCAUGAAGACCCUCCUCGGCGAGAAGCUGAAGAAGGGCGAGCUGGAGGAGAUCCUCGGUGACAUCGACCUAAACAAAGAUGGCGACAUCGAC